Molecule: non-coding RNA, 76 nt
Filed under: marine metagenome
Description: Marine metagenome SAH sequence
Rfam family: SAH (S-adenosyl-L-homocysteine) riboswitch aptamer
Source: Rfam by way of RNAcentral
UCUUCCGAGGAGCGUUGCAACCGCCACUUUAGCUUGGCGGCCAGGCUCGGAACCGUGACAACGGCGCUCACCCGCA